This 253-nucleotide ribosomal RNA is filed under the name uncultured bacterium. Its description in RNAcentral is "partial 16S ribosomal RNA". It matches the Rfam family "Bacterial small subunit ribosomal RNA", at positions 524 to 776 of the family's 1533-position model. The record is from RNAcentral.
UACGUAGGGGGCUAGCGUUGUCCGGAAUCAUUGGGCGUAAAGCGCGCGUAGGCGGCCUGGUAAGUCCGCUGUGAAAGUCAAAGGCUCAACCUUUGAAAGCCGAUGGAUACUGUGAGGCUAGAGUCCGGAAGAGGCGAGUGGAAUUCCUGGUGUAGCGGUGGAAUGCGCAGAUAUCAGGAGGAACACCAAUAGCGAAGGCAGCUCGCUGGGACGGUACUGACGCUAAGGCGCGAAAGCGUGGGGAGCGAACAGG